UACGUAGGGGGCAAGCGUUAUCCGGAAUUACUGGGUGUAAAGGGAGCGUAGGCGGCAUGGUAAGUAAGAUGUGAAAGCCCGAGGCUUAACCUCGAGGAUUGCAUUUUAAACUAUCAAGCUAGAGUACAGGAGAGGAAAGCGGAAUUCCUAGUGUAGCGGUGAAAUGCGUAGAUAUUAGGAAGAACACCAGUGGCGAAGGCGGCUUUCUGGACUGAAACUGACGCUGAGGCUCGAAAGCGUGGGGAGCAAACAGG
RNAcentral lists this ribosomal RNA (254 nucleotides) under Anaerotignum lactatifermentans. RNAcentral's name for it is "partial 16S ribosomal RNA". It matches the Rfam family "Bacterial small subunit ribosomal RNA", at positions 524 to 776 of the family's 1533-position model. The record is from RNAcentral. Lineage: Bacteria; Bacillati; Bacillota; Clostridia; Lachnospirales; Anaerotignaceae.